CUGAUCAGAAAUUGUGGACCACACAUAGUUAUGAAGAUGACAAAGCAACAGCUAAUUUCUGCGUAAUUAACGACCGCAGGAGUAAUGAAGUAAUUUCACGUUCUAAUCUAAAAAGUCCUAGCAGGAGGACACAAAACCCAAACUCAUCGAACAAUCUUUCCUUUCACAAGAAAUUUUGAAAUAAUCUAAUUGAAAACCAAAACAAGAAAUAUGAGCUGACAACAAACUUCAACUGAAAUACUUCAUCCAUACAAAGCAAAGCAUCAUAUAUAAUAUGUUGAAGAAAGAAAAAUGGCUACAAGGCUGGUUUGAGAAUCAAACCAAGAAAAUUCUAGAGGGUAAAGCAUUCCUGGAGUCGAUGAGUGCUGAUGCGGGUUAAGGCUUGAACUGAAUAUCAUGAUUGGGACCACCACAUUUCUUUGUGUAGGGGAAGAGUAAGAGAAGGAUGAACAAGGUGGCAAACAGCAGAACCAGAACCAGCAUCAUAAUCUCACCGUGGACAGCAAACUUUGGGUCACUGAUGAGGACGUCGUGAAGCUGAUCGUUUUGAAACUGAUCAUUGGGGGCCAAUGAAGACCAGAAAGGAUCCGGAGCAGCUGCCAUGUUGAUCAAUAAAGCUGCAGAGAAUUAGGUCAUGCUGCUAUGAGUUUCGUCUAUUAUAUAACGUUUGGUUGGCUGGUCUCCAGAGGUUAACGUUGUUAGCAGGUGGAAAAUGAUUAGGUGAUGGAUCUGUCUGCCGACAGAAAGAGAAUGGAAUUG
RNAcentral lists this long non-coding RNA (759 nucleotides) under Prunus dulcis (almond). Its description in RNAcentral is "sRNA ncRNA". Lineage: Eukaryota; Viridiplantae; Streptophyta; Magnoliopsida; Rosales; Rosaceae. The record is from RNAcentral.